Molecule: small RNA, 676 nt
Filed under: Pan troglodytes (chimpanzee)
Lineage: Eukaryota; Metazoa; Chordata; Mammalia; Primates; Hominidae
Description: processed transcript
Source: RNAcentral
AUUUAUUCCUAGUAAUUUUUAUUCUUUCUCUAGUCACUAUUUUUAAAGACUAUUGCCUUUUCUUGUAUCUUAGAGUUUCUUGUGUAUUUUUUAUUUGUUCUGAAAUUUUUUGUUGUUAAUUUGCCUUGAAAGCCAGCUUUGAGACUUGCAGCUAUGGCUGGGUUGGAGAUGGAUUCGUGGUCAUCUCUAGGAUUAGCCCAAACCCCAAGUGUGGGAAAAAUGGGGUGGGUGUCCUGAUUUGGAAAGUUCCAGUGAACCGACAGUUUGCAGCGUAUUGUUACAACUCAUCUGAUACUUGGACUAACUCGUGCAUUCCAGAAAUUAUCACCACCAAAGAUCCCAUAUUCAACACUCAAACUGCAACACACACAACAGAAUUUAUUGUCAGUGACAGUACCUACUCGGUGGCGUCCCCUUACUCUACAAUACCUGCCCCUACUACUACUCCUCCUGCUCCAGCUUCCACUUCUAUUCCACGGAGAAAAAAAUUGAUUUGUGUCACAGAAGUUUUUAUGGAAACUAGCACCAUGUCUACAGAAACUGAACCAUUUGUUGAAAAUAAAGCAGCAUUCAAGAAUGAAGCUGCUGGGUUUGGAGGUGUCCCCACGGCUCUGCUAGUGCUUGCUCUCCUCUUCUUUGGUGCUGCAGCUGGUCUUGGAUUUUGCUAUGUCAAAAG